UCCAGAUCAGGACCACCAGUCAUGGCACAGAAAAUAACCAAGUAAAUGCCAGCUCUCAUGGCAGUGAUUGUGUGGAAGACGGAAUAAGGACCAGGUAUGUAUGUGACAAUCAUUCCUUCAAACUUGAUAAGCAAAGUAAAAUGCAUGAUUUACAACAACGGGAAUGAAUUCAUUGUGAAGGACAAUGAAAAUAGGACCAUAUCUUCUUACAGCAUGGAUUCUUCUAGAAGAAAUGACAGUUGCAAUGAACUUAUUUAUUUCAAUAAAGAUUGUGAUCAAUGACUGGAAAA
Peromyscus eremicus (cactus mouse) is the source of this 290-nucleotide long non-coding RNA. RefSeq lists it as uncharacterized. The transcript has 2 exons. NCBI's taxonomy places the organism in Eukaryota, Metazoa, Chordata, Mammalia, Rodentia, Cricetidae. The record is from RefSeq and is a predicted model, not a curated record.